Molecule: long non-coding RNA, 485 nt
Filed under: Homo sapiens (human)
Lineage: Eukaryota; Metazoa; Chordata; Mammalia; Primates; Hominidae
Description: HSALNT0344978
Source: RNAcentral
CGCAAGGAUCUAGUCCAGUCACUGGAGGGUAGCACCGGCACGUGUGUUCCCGUCAGUGUUUCCUGAGAAGGAAAAAAGUAGGAAACAAAACCUCAUUCUGUCACACAGGCUGGAAUGCAAUGGCAGGAUGGUGGCUGCCUUGACCUCUGGGACUCAGGUGAUCCUCCCACCUCAGCCACUCAAGUAGCUGGGACUACAGGAGAUCUAACACAGGACAGAGGCAGAGAGAAUCCCCAAGAUGAUGGAGGAAGAUCGCAGCAUGACAGCUGUGCUCCAGGGGACAGUUGUGAGGAUCGGAGCAGCGCAAUUCAAGAGACAGGCACGUUGAAUGCUGUUACCACCAAGAUGUUGAAUGCUAUUGCAUACUCUAUUUAACAGGUGAACAGAAAGUCCAGUGAAUCUAGUCAGAUUUUGAUGUGUGAUUACUUUGCCUUUUUUUUUUUUUUUUUGAGACGGAGUCUUCCUGUCACUCAGGCUGGACUGCA